This 1399-nucleotide ribosomal RNA is filed under the name uncultured bacterium. RNAcentral describes it as "partial 16S ribosomal RNA". It matches the Rfam family "Bacterial small subunit ribosomal RNA". The record is from RNAcentral.
AGUUUGAUCCUGGCUCAGGAUGAACGCUAGCUACAGGCUUAACACAUGCAAGUCGAGGGGAAACGGCAUUAAGUGCUUGCACUUUUUGGACGUCGACCGGCGCACGGGUGAGUAACGCGUAUCCAACCUUCCCAUGACUAAGGGAUAACCUGCCGAAAGGCAGACUAAUACCUUAUGGUCUUCACUGACGGCAUCAGAUGUGAAGUAAAGAUUUAUCGGUUAUGGAUGGGGAUGCGUCUGAUUAGCUUGUUGGCGGGGUAACGGCCCACCAAGGCAACGAUCAGUAGGGGUUCUGAGAGGAAGGUCCCCCACAUUGGAACUGAGACACGGUCCAAACUCCUACGGGAGGCAGCAGUGAGGAAUAUUGGUCAAUGGGCGAGAGCCUGAACCAGCCAAGUAGCGUGCAGGAAGACGGCCCUAUGGGUUGUAAACUGCUUUUGUAUGGGGAUAAAGUCAAUCACGUGUGAUUGUCUGCAGGUACCAUACGAAUAAGGACCGGCUAAUUCCGUGCCAGCAGCCGCGGUAAUACGGAAGGUCCGGGCGUUAUCCGGAUUUAUUGGGUUUAAAGGGAGCGUAGGCUGGAGAUUAAGUGUGUUGUGAAAUGUAGACGCUCAACGUCUGACUUGCAGCGCAUACUGGUUUCCUUGAGUACGCACAACGUUGGCGGAAUUCGUCGUGUAGCGGUGAAAUGCUUAGAUAUGACGAAGAACUCCGAUUGCGAAGGCAGCUGACGGGAGCGCAACUGACGCUGAAGCUCGAAGGUGCGGGUAUCGAACAGGAUUAGAUACCCUGGUAGUCCGCACAGUAAACGAUGGAUGCCCGCUGUUGGUACGUGGUAUCAGCGGCUAAGCGAAAGCAUUAAGCAUCCCACCUGGGGAGUACGCCGGAAACGGUGAAACUAAAAGGAAUUGACGGGGGCCCGCACAAGCGGAGGAACAUGUGGUUUAAUUCGAUGAUACGCGAGGAACCUUACCCGGGCUUGAAAUUGCAGAGGAAGGAUUUAGAGAUAAUGACGCCCUUCGGGGUCUCUGUGAAGGUGCUGCAUGGUUGUCGUCAGCUCGUGCCGUGAGGUGUCGGCUUAAGUGCCAUAACGAGCGCAAACCCCUGUCUUUAGUUGCCAUCAGGUCAUGCUGGGCACUCUGGAGAUACUGCCACCGUAAGGUGUGAGGAAGGUGGGGAGAACGUCAAAAUCGGCACGGCCCUUACGUCCGGGGCUACACACGUGUUACGAAUGGCCGGUACGAAGGGACGGUGUAAUGUAAAUUGCAUUCUAUUCUUGAAACCCGGUCCCGGUUCGAACUGAGGGUCUGCACCCCGCCCCGCGAAGACGGAUUCGGCUGGGAUCGCGCGUUCGCCCAUAGCGCGGUAAGUCGUUCCCGGGCCCUGGGCGCGCCCCCCC